GAGCCCUCACAUCCUUCAUGAGAAUGGCCCAUCGGCCCUUCAAAGGCAGGCCGAUGGGCCAUUUUGAUGAAUGAUAUGAGGGUUC
Marchantia polymorpha subsp. ruderalis is the source of this 85-nucleotide non-coding RNA. The record is from the annotation of a GenBank genome assembly. Lineage: Eukaryota; Viridiplantae; Streptophyta; Marchantiopsida; Marchantiales; Marchantiaceae.